RNAcentral lists this ribosomal RNA (570 nucleotides) under uncultured archaeon. RNAcentral describes it as "bacterial SSU rRNA". It matches the Rfam family "Archaeal small subunit ribosomal RNA", at positions 318 to 843 of the family's 1478-position model. The record is from RNAcentral.
AGGCAAGGCGCAGCAUUAANCCAAUACACAGUNGCAAGGACAGAUCAUGUAGAGUAGAAGGGAACCCCCGAGUNGCCAGNAUACGCGGNCGGUCAGAGGNGGAUAAAAAGAAUCGGAAGNAAGGGCCGGGCAAGACCGGUGCCAGCCGCCGCGGUAAACCGGCGGCUCGAGUGGUGACUCACUUUUAUUGGGUUUAAAGCGUUCGUAGCUGGACUCGUGUACAGUCUCCUUCUCGGGAAAUUCCUCGGUCGAGCUCAAACCGUAGUGAGGCGUUUUCAGAGAGAUACUGGCGCAGGUACUAUGGAACCGGGAGAGGUAAGAGGUACUUCGAGGGGUAGAGAGUGAAAUUCUUGUAAUCCUCCGAGGGACCACCGUAUGGCGAAGGCAUCUUACCAGAACGGCUUCGACAGUGAGGAACGAAAGCUGGGGGAAGCGAACGGGAUUAGAUACCCCGGUAGUCCCAGCCGUAAACGAUGCGCGUUAGGUGUACACUGGNUGAGCCACGAGCUCAUGCUAGGGGUGCCCGUAAGGGAAACCGUGAAACGAUACCGCCCUGGGAAGUACCCGUCG